This 1633-nucleotide ribosomal RNA is filed under the name metagenome. Its description in RNAcentral is "SSU rRNA". It matches the Rfam family "Eukaryotic small subunit ribosomal RNA", at positions 339 to 1801 of the family's 1831-position model. The record is from RNAcentral.
GACUACCGUGCCGGUGACGGGUAACGGAGAGUUGGGGUUCGAUUCCGGAGAGGGUGCCUGAUAAACGGCAACCAUCACUACGGUGAGCAGCAGGCGCGCAAAUUGCCCAAUGCCAAUCCUGGCGAGGCAGCGACGAAAAAUAAUAACUCUGUUGCGCUUAGCGUAUCAGAGAUUGUGAUGGAUUGUAUCUAGUACACACUGCUGAGUAUCAAUUGGAGGGCAAGUCUGGUGCCAGCAGCCGCGGUAAUUCCAGCUCCAAGAGCGUAUAUAAAUGUUGUUGCGGUUAAAAAGCCCGUAGUUGGAUUUGAGAUCAUUGCUGGUGUUCGCCCCCCCACCCUUGCGGCGGGGAUUCGGCCGAGCACAUCACGGUGAUGGUCUGUCUGCACGCGGGAACGGACGUCGGCCUUUCUUUUUCGGAGGUUAGGCAAACACGGAGUCAACACGCUCCAUAAGACGCGCCCGCGGAUGUUACUGUGAGUAAAACAGAGUGUUCAAGGCAACCUAUUGGUUGAAUGUUAAAGCAUGGAAUGACAAGGGAUCGACCACGGAGGCCUCUUUUUGUUGGUUUUCAAGCCUCAGUGCGGUAAACCUGCACAUGGGAAACCCGAGCAGUGGCAACCUCGGUUCCCUGUUCGGACCCGUGUGCACCCGGGAUCAACAGGAGCACAGGGGGUCAUGAGUACUGGAGGGUGAGCGGUGAAAUGCGGAGACCCCUCCAAGACUGACAUCAGCGAAAGCACUUGACUAUUGUGCUUUCAUUAAUCAAGGACGAGAGAUAGGGGAUCGAAGAGGAUUAGACACCCUCGUAGUUCUUUCCUUAAACUCUGCAGACUUGGGAUCGGUCAGUGCUCAGUUUCUUGACCCGAUCGGCCCCUCCCCCUUGUAUCGAGAAAUCAAAGUCUUUGUGUUCCGGGGGGAGUACAUUCGCAAGGCUGAAACUUAAAGGAAUUGACGGAGAACCACCACCAGUGGUGGAUUGUGUGGCUUAAUUCGACCCAACACGGGAAAUUUUAGCUAUAUAGGACAUGGGCAGGAUUGCCAAGUUAAAGCCUUUGCUUGAUUCCAUGAAGGGUGGUGCAUGGCCGCUUCUGGUUGGUGAAUGUGAUUUGUCUGCUUAAUUGCGAUAACGAACGAGAUCUCUGCCAAUUACUAGAUGCCGCUUUCGUGGUAGGCUGUGUACAGGCUUCAUUGGCUUCCGGGCUGUGGAUCUGUACGGGCCGAGAAGGCGGAGCUUUUUACUUAUUGGGAUUAUGCGUCUUUUAAACGCAUUGAAACGAGAGCCCAAAGCAGGUCUGUGAUGCUCCUAAAUACAUAGCGCCGCACGCGCAAGACACUGACUCAGCCAACGAGUUUCUGCUUCCGCAGCCUGUUCUGAAGAGAACGGGGAAUCUUUGAGCCUGAGUCGUGAUGGGGAUUGAAGCUUGAAAUUAUUCUCCAUGAACGAGGAAUCUCUUGUAGGCGCGUUUCAUCAGAACGCACCGAAUACGUCCCUGGUUCUUGUACACACCGCCCGUCGUUGCCUGUAAUGGGUUGCGAGUAGAGCCUUUUGGAGAUGACGCGCUCCUCCCGGAGUGUCGGCGUCAAAAUUUGACGAUACUCGCAAUCUAGAAGAGGCAAAAGUCGUAACAAGGGU